This 1103-nucleotide long non-coding RNA is filed under the name Felis catus (domestic cat). RNAcentral describes it as "lncRNA (ENSFCAG00000048794.1)". Lineage: Eukaryota; Metazoa; Chordata; Mammalia; Carnivora; Felidae. The record is from RNAcentral.
GCAGUCUACAGAGUCACUGAGGGGGUUUGCUUAUCAGCCAAGAUGAACACAGACAUUUCUCAGGCUGAGAAAGAGGUGUUUGGUUAUGCAAAUAUCCUUUGUCACCAGGGACACAAGACAAGCAUUCAUUUGCAAAGAAGGAGGACACUUUCAACGCAUGUGGAGCCCACGUGUCAUCCUGUCAUGAACAGCCAGGUCCCAAAGGUGGCAGGGGAGGACCUGGCAUCCUGACUAUGUCCCCAAGGCAGCCAGGCCCUCGCCGGGCCCUCAGAGGGCCAUGCUCAGGUGCCUCAAGGCCCAUCUUUGAUGAACAUCCGUGUGCCCCGCACAUGCACAGUGAGUGAAGCUAACCCAUGAGCAUACCUCCUCACAUCCUCCAUGAGCCCAGCACUUUCCUCAACUCAUCAGCUCUGCCCUGCCACCUCCUUCCACACCAUCUCCUCCGGAAAUAUGUGCACAGCAAAUCAGAGCGAGCUCCCCCCGACUGGGUUGGUGCCAACUUUCCCUGUCACGUGAGUGCUCCGUGGAGAGAAGACUUCCUUCUCGGUCUCUCUCCCCACCCACAUCACCUCAUGCCUACCAAAAGGUAUUUCCUCAGGCUUCCGUGAAGCCCAGGGAUGGGGACCUAAUCGGGAGAGAAGGUGGACGUCAGGUGCGUUAGGCGGUGGAUGGAAUUGCUUCGGGCACCACGGAAACCCUGGGAAAAGUCACCAGGAAGUCGCUCCUUUGUCAUUUCAGAGAAGUCGCACCCCAAGCCGGGCUUUGGAACUCAGGGGACCACAUUAUUGCUCUCGGAAUAAUAGCCUUCCCCCCCACAAUGCCAAUUUAUCAUUUUUGAUGGAAUGGCCCAUCUCUGUCACCAACCUCAAUUUUGGGCAUUACAUACCUUUGCAUUUUGUUCUCUGAGAAGAGAGUGGUGAAUUCAGGAACCCCCUGAAGCCUGUCCCACCUCUGGGAAGGCUCUGGGUCCCUCAGGGCCCCAGACCCAGCUCCCUGCUCAGACUUCUGUCCUGGGAGCAGUUUGUUUUCUCUCUCCAUAGGUUGGGUCUAGAUUUCAAGUUUUUAAAAAUAAAGAUGCACCCUUCCCAGCCCUCCUGGCGAGG